This 143-nucleotide ribosomal RNA is filed under the name Shigella flexneri. RNAcentral's name for it is "partial 16S ribosomal RNA". It matches the Rfam family "Bacterial small subunit ribosomal RNA", at positions 1403 to 1533 of the family's 1533-position model. The record is from RNAcentral. Lineage: Bacteria; Pseudomonadati; Pseudomonadota; Gammaproteobacteria; Enterobacterales; Enterobacteriaceae. RNAcentral also lists the same sequence under 2 other names.
CAUGGGAGUGGGUUGCAAAAGAAGUAGGUAGCUUAACCUUCGGGAGGGCGCUUACCACUUUGUGAUUCAUGACUGGGGUGAAGUCGUAACAAGGUAACCGUAGGGGAACCUGCGGUUGGAUCACCUCCUUACCUUAAAGAAGC